This 78-nucleotide small RNA is filed under the name Salmonella enterica subsp. enterica. RNAcentral's name for it is "partial RtT sRNA". It matches the Rfam family "RtT RNA", at positions 49 to 130 of the family's 130-position model. From Rfam's summary of the family: This family represents a bacterial cis-regulatory element known as RtT RNA. The record is from RNAcentral. Lineage: Bacteria; Pseudomonadati; Pseudomonadota; Gammaproteobacteria; Enterobacterales; Enterobacteriaceae.
UAAAACGUGAAGGAUAACGUUGCGUCAGCAACGGCCCGUAGGGCGAGGCAAAGCCGAGUCAUCCUGCACGACCCACCA